This 296-nucleotide unclassified non-coding RNA is filed under the name rhizosphere metagenome. Its description in RNAcentral is "partial ribosomal RNA internal transcribed spacer region". The record is from RNAcentral.
GUAGGUGAACCUGCGGAAGGAUCAUUAACACGAUCUACGUAUCUACCUAACCAAUUGUAGUACCCCACACCAGCUUGCGUGCCAUGGGCCUUUCGCCAAAAUUGAAUUGCCACGGAUAUGGAAUUAACCUGACUUGAUGGGAGUGGGAUCGCCCCCCUCGCUAUAUCAUUAGAUUUUGCUAGUUGACUUUGUGGUUGUCAUGUCGGUGACUUUGAACCUCACUCGCUUGUGGCACCCGUGUAGCACGUUGUUACACGUUAAUCAUACAACUCUUAGCAAUGGAUAUCUUGGUUCUC